This 468-nucleotide ribosomal RNA is filed under the name uncultured bacterium. Its description in RNAcentral is "partial 16S ribosomal RNA". It matches the Rfam family "Bacterial small subunit ribosomal RNA", at positions 28 to 507 of the family's 1533-position model. The record is from RNAcentral.
GACGAACGCUGGCGGCGUGCUUAACACAUGCAAGUCGAACGGGAAGGCCCUGCUUUUGUGGGGUGCUCGAGUGGCGACCGGGUGAGUAACACUUGAGUAACCUGCCAUUGACUUUGGGAUAACUUCAUGACACUUGGGCUAAUACCGGAUAGGAGCUCCUGCUGCAUGGUGGGGGUUGGAAAGUUUCGGCGGUUGGGGAUGGACUCGCGGCUUAUAAGCUUGUUGGUGGGGUAGUGGCUUACCAAGGCUUUGACGGGUAGCCGGCCUGGGAGGGUGACCGGCUACACUGGGACUGGGAUGCGGCCCAGACUCGUACGGGAGGCAGCAGAGGGGAAGAGUGCACAAUGGGCGGAAGCAUGAUGCAGCAACGCCGCGUGCGGGAUGACGGGCUGCGGGUUGUAAUCCGCUUUCGCCUGACACGAAGCGUGAGUGACGGUAAUGGGUAAAGAAGCACCGGCUAACUACGUG